CAGUAGCCACGGUAAUACGAGGGGUGCAAGCGUUAUUCGGAUUGAUUGGGUGUAAAGGGUGUGCAGACGGCUUAUUAAGUCACUUGUUAAGUUCUUCGGCCUAACUGAAGGUCUGCAAGUGAUACUGAUGAGCUAGAGGGUGGAAGAGAGAAGUGGAAUUCUCGGAGUAGCGGUAAAAUGCGUAGAUCUCGAGAGGAACACCAAUGGCGAAGGCAGCUUCUUGGUCCAUUCCUGACGUUCAUACACGAAAGCGUGGGGAGCAAACAGGAUUAGAUACCCCAGUAGUCCCUGUCUCUUAUAC
This 301-nucleotide ribosomal RNA is filed under the name uncultured bacterium. RNAcentral's name for it is "partial 16S ribosomal RNA". It matches the Rfam family "Bacterial small subunit ribosomal RNA", at positions 509 to 807 of the family's 1533-position model. The record is from RNAcentral.